UGCGUAGGCGGGUUUUUAAGUCAGAGGUGAAAUCCUGGAGCUCAACUCCAGAACUGCCUUUGAUACUGAGGAUCUUGAGUAUGACAGAGGUGAGUGGAACUGCGAGUGUAGAGGUGAAAUUCGUAGAUAUUCGCAAGAACACCAGUGGCGAAGGCGGCUCACUGGGUCAUUACUGACGCUGAGGCACGAAAGCGUGGGGAGCAAACA
RNAcentral lists this ribosomal RNA (207 nucleotides) under uncultured bacterium. Its description in RNAcentral is "partial 16S ribosomal RNA". It matches the Rfam family "Bacterial small subunit ribosomal RNA", at positions 568 to 774 of the family's 1533-position model. The record is from RNAcentral.